RNAcentral lists this ribosomal RNA (549 nucleotides) under uncultured Glomeromycotina. RNAcentral describes it as "SSU rRNA". It matches the Rfam family "Eukaryotic small subunit ribosomal RNA", at positions 548 to 1098 of the family's 1831-position model. Lineage: Eukaryota; Fungi; Glomeromycota. The record is from RNAcentral.
UUGGAGGGCAAGUCUGGUGCCAGCAGCCGCGGUAAUUCCAGCUCCAAUAGCGUAUAUUAAAGUUGUUGCAGUUAAAAAGCUCGUAGUUGAAUUUCGGGAUCAAUAUGUCGGUCGUGCUUUUGGUACGUACUGGCAUCAUUGGUUCCUCCCUUCUGACAAACCAUGAUGUCAUUAAUUUGGUGUUAUGGGGAGUUAGGACUGUUACUUUGAAAAAAUUAGAGUGUUUAAAGCAGGCAUUAGCUUGAAUACAUUAGCAUGGAAUAAUGAAAUAGGACGUUUGACCCUAUUUUGUUGGUUUCUAGGAUCGACGUAAUGAUUAAUAGGGAUAGUUGGGGGCAUUAGUAUUCAAUUGUCAGAGGUGAAAUUCUUGGAUUUAUUGAAGACUAACUACUGCGAAAGCAUUUGCCAAGGAUGUUUUCAUUAAUCAAGAACGAAAGUUAGGGGAUCGAAGACGAUCAGAUACCGUCGUAGUCUUAACCAUAAACUAUGCCGACUAGGGACCGGAUGAUGUUAAUUUUUUAAUGACUCAUUCGGCGCCUUACGGGAAAC